AACGAACGCUGGCGGCAUGCCUAACACAUGCAAGUCGAACGAAGCCUUCGGGCUUAGUGGCGCACGGGUGCGUAACACGUGGGAAUCUGCCCUUGGUUCGGAAUAACAGUUAGAAAUGACUGCUAAUACCGGAUGAUGACGAAAGUCCAAAGAUUUAUCGCCGAAGGAUGAGCCCGCGUAGGAUUAGGUAGUUGGUAGGGUAAUGGCCUACCAAGCCGACGAUCCUUAGCUGGUCUGAGAGGAUGAUCAGCCACACUGGGACUGAGACACGGCCCAGACUCCUACGGGAGGCAGCAGUGGGGAAUAUUGGACAAUGGGCGAAAGCCUGAGUCCAGCAAUGCCGCGUGAGUGAUGAAGGCCUUAGGGUUGUAAAGCUCUUUUACCAGGGA
This 389-nucleotide ribosomal RNA is filed under the name uncultured bacterium. RNAcentral describes it as "bacterial SSU rRNA". It matches the Rfam family "Bacterial small subunit ribosomal RNA", at positions 29 to 445 of the family's 1533-position model. The record is from RNAcentral.